This 497-nucleotide ribosomal RNA is filed under the name uncultured bacterium. RNAcentral's name for it is "partial 16S ribosomal RNA". It matches the Rfam family "Bacterial small subunit ribosomal RNA", at positions 28 to 507 of the family's 1533-position model. The record is from RNAcentral.
GAUGAACGCUGGCGGCGUGCCUAAUACAUGCAAGUCGAGCGAACGGACGAGAAGCUUGCUUCUCUGAUGUUAGCGGCGGACGGGUGAUUAACACGUGGAUAACCUACCUAUAAGACUGGGAUAACUUCGGGAAACCGGAUCUAAUACCGGAUAAUAUUUUGAACCGCAUGGUUCAAAAGUGAAAGACGGUCUUGCUGUCACUUAUAGAUGUAUCCGCGCUGCAUUAGCUAGUUGGUAAGGUAACGGCUUACCAAGGCAACGAUGCAUAGCCGACCUGAGAGGGUGAUCGGCCACACUGGAACUGAGACACGGACCAGACUCCUACGGGAGGCAGCAGUAGGGAAUCUUCCGCAAUGGGCGAAAGCCUGACGGAGCAACGCCGCGUGAGUGAUGAAGGUCUUCGGAUCGUAAAACUCUGUUAUUAGGGAAGAACAUAUGUGUAAGUAAAUGUGCACAUGUUGACGGUACCUAAUCAGAAAGCAACGGCUAACUACGUG